RNAcentral lists this ribosomal RNA (496 nucleotides) under uncultured bacterium. Its description in RNAcentral is "partial 16S ribosomal RNA". It matches the Rfam family "Bacterial small subunit ribosomal RNA", at positions 28 to 507 of the family's 1533-position model. The record is from RNAcentral.
GAUGAACGCUGGCGGCGUGCCUAAUACAUGCAAGUCGAGCGAACAGAUGAGGAGCUUGCUCCUCUGACGUUAGCGGCGGACGGGUGAGUAACACGUGGAUAACCUACCUAUAGACUGGGAUAACUUCGGGAAACCGGAGCUAAUACCGGAUAAUAUAUUGAACCGCAUGGUUCAAUAGUGAAAGACGGUUUUGCUGUCACUUAUAGAUGGAUCCGCGCCGCAUUAGCUAGUUGGUAAGGUAACGGCUUACCAAGGCAACGAUGCGUAGCCGACCUGAGAGGGUGAUCGGCCCCACUGGAACUGAGACCCGGUCCAGACUCCUACGGGAGGCAGCAGUAGGGAAUCUUCCGCAAUGGGCGAAAGCCUGACGGAGCAACGCCGCGUGAGUGAUGAAGGUCUUCGGAUCGUAAAACUCUGUUAUUAGGGAAGAACAAAUGUGUAAGUAACUAUGCACGUCUUGACGGUACCUAAUCAGAAAGCCACGGCUAACUACGUG